UGAAGGUAUUGGCAUUACCUCCGGGACGGCGGUCCGACAAAGCACUUGCAAGAUUUGCUAAGACUAGCAUUGCUCGUGUACGUUCAUUGGUCGCGAUCCUUGGUUGCCCUUCUUUCGUGGACACAAUGCCUAGCGGCUCGAGAUCAAACUUGGCUUAUGGAGAGAGCACGAGCGGUCAGAACGUCGAGCUUUAGGAUGAUAUUGAUGAGGAUCCAGUGGAUGUGCCUGAGGAGGAACUCGAGGCUGAGGUGGAUGACUUCUUGGGAUGGGCUGAAUAUGCGAUGGAGAGGGAGGUGGAUGGACAAGAUCAUGACGAGAUAAGAACUUCUCAUAUAGAAGAUGCUCCAGAGCCGACUCGGCCUACUCGGCCUCGCGACUUUGGUCUCAA
Molecule: long non-coding RNA, 388 nt
Organism: Lolium rigidum
Lineage: Eukaryota; Viridiplantae; Streptophyta; Magnoliopsida; Poales; Poaceae
Exons: 3
Source: RefSeq, a predicted model, not a curated record